Molecule: non-coding RNA, 4988 nt
Organism: Microcebus murinus (gray mouse lemur)
Lineage: Eukaryota; Metazoa; Chordata; Mammalia; Primates; Cheirogaleidae
Source: RefSeq, a predicted model, not a curated record
GACCGUCGGGGAGGGAGAGGACCCUCAUGAGGACAGAGGUCCUCGUUAGGGCAGUGUGCUUGUGGAGGGAGGUCUCUGGGGGAGGAAGGGCCUAGAGUGGUGGGAGAAGAGGGGCAGGCAGGUGCUUGUGGGAUAAAAAAAACUCUGGGGGGGGACUUGUAUUAAUAGAAGGGGUGGAAGGGUCAGGGGUGCCUGUGUGUUUUAAGAAGGGUCCUGCUUAAGGGUCCAUUUAGGGAGAGAUUGGGCUCAGGAAGAUGACCAAGCUGGCACACAGGGUUCCUGGUACAAUUCCCUUGGAGGAAUAUUUACAUAAAUUAGACUAACAUAGAGGAAUUAUUUGCUUGACAUUGUAAAACACCAGAUCUGAGUGUUUCCCUUUAAUUAAACCUGACACUCUCCCAGCAUCCCAUCCCUGGGAAAUCAGUUGCUCGUUCAUUCUUCUGACAAGUACAGGCACCCAGGGGGACAGGCCCACAGGACCACUGCCAGACCCCCAGGCGGGUGGCGAGGGCCGCGACAGGCCUGAACACACGGGCCCUGCUCUGUGUGCAGGGAAAGAAGAGCAGAGCAAGGUGCAGGAAGUGCCCUGUGCCCUCUCCUUUGGCUUAGCUUCCUGCCCGCUACUGGCCCUGCUUCCCUCUUUGUCUUUGUUGUCGCCAGUGUUUUAGGUGGAUCCCUGAGUAUUUAUUUUCUGGGAUUCUUUUGGAUGGGGAUGACAGAAAGCCAGCCCAGACUGACUCCAACAAACAAGGGUGUUUAUUGGCUCCCGCGCCCCAAAGUCCAGGGCAUCUUCCUGGCCCCUGACUCCCUUUCCCUGGGGCAGCCUGGGGCAGCACACACUCCACCCCACCCACCUAACACCGGCCCUAAGACUGACCACAUGGGCUGGGGGGACAAGAGCAAACCCGGCUGGCCCAGAGGACAGUUGAGUGCUGGGACCAGGGUGACAGAUGGAGGUGGGCAGGCAAACACAGCAGAGGGAGUCAGCCCAGGUUUCUUACCCUGACUUGCUCCCAUCAGCCACAAGACAGGAGAAGGAGCAGGGGCCCUCCAGAAAAGCUCUGGUGGUCCUGGGCCCACUGCACCUUCUAGAAGCUCUCCAGGUGCUUUCCUGGGCUGGCCUGCCUGUGAUCACCCUACUCCUGUCCAAGAGGACGUUCAUAUUCAGUGACCAACUCAGAGUCCAGCCUGCUUUCCAGAGUCUGCUGGGGCAGCUGUGAACUGCCCCGACUGAUUACCUGCCUGAAGCUUCAGCAGCGUGGCUGGAAAUCCUGGCCCAGACCUGGGAUCUCACCACCCUAGAACGGGCAAGAGGAAGCAGCUGUCAAGGUGGAGAAGCCUCACUCUCCUGGAAGAACGGCAAGAGUGAUAGUGCCAGCUGGCCGAGACCACCAGCCACCACACCCUCCCAGGCCUGCUGUCCUCGCCCCAGACCAGGGGUGAGGGUGGAGUGAGUUUCACAGAUCCAGGUUCUGGGGUGGGGGUGGGAGCCGGUUUCUAUAAGUGAGCAGCUCACGGAGAAUCACUGAGAAGGGAGGCAGACGGGCGUCCGUAUGCUGCAAGUUUUCCCUCUCCCCGGUGACUGUCAGCCCUCACCCGGGCAGAUGCGGGACCAGGGAGGACGGUGGCCAUGGACAUCCCCAGCACCCCAGCUCUGGACCGGAGCAUCCGCUGCCCUGCGUGCCAGCGACGGGCCCUCGUGCACACAGUGUGCUGAGCCGGGCCAGAGGCAGGGGUGACUUCAGAGCCAGAAUCUGGCCCUGCCGAGCUGCUGCCCCUGGCCCCGGGUCAGCCCCCGUCGGGAUGGGCAGCUCGGGAGGAAAGGGCUGGAAGCAGGGAGCAUGCAUGUGCACGCCUUCAUCAGCUUAUUUUUAGUUGCCUUAUGUAAGUGGCUUCAUCUCAACGUCACAUGGGGGGGUCUCAGAUUUAAUUACAGGAUGACAGCCUUUGCUUUUCAAGCAAGCUGUUCUACUGGCAAGGCAGGCACAGGAUUUGCGAGUUUUUGCUCAGCAGAAGGAGCCCUCUCUGAGGCGUCCACUCCGCAAAGCUUGAGCCGAGUUCACCUCACCGCCCUCUCCCUGGCCAGCCUGCCCCGGCUCUGGCUGAGCCCGGCCUGAGAGGGCAGCCUGUGUCCCAGACCCGGGGACAUUCUCUGCCCGUCCCCGAGCUUCCUCUCACCCGUCCCCUCCCUCCCACCCCGCUGCUUGGCAGCCUCACCUUCUAAGAGAAGGAGCCACCAAUGAACUCCUCUCCCCUUUCUUCACUCCUAGAUUAAAGCACUGUAAUCAGGAACCAGAAUGUUCCAGGGCAGAGAAACCAGAGGGUGCUGGAGCUCUCAGGCAGGCUCCUUCCCCUUCCCCCACCCCGUCCCGCCCCAUCCACCGGUCUCGUGCUGCUCCCCCCACGCCAGGCACCGUGGGCCACUGGACCUGGGCCAGGGUCACCCGGUGAAACUGUCCAUGUUGUGUCCGGAGCGCUGUUUUCCCACGUCCUGGACGGGAUGGACGUCCCUGCGUUCUCUCGGUGUUAUUGGCAAGAAAGGGCCAAGGCGCAGGCCGUGAGCCCCGGCUCCAGAGUCCCACUUCCUGCGGGCAGGAGGCCACUGUGGCCGCCUCCGGUGCACUGUGGCUUUGUCCAGUGUAAAAGGCAGAGCCGCGUGUCCGCUGCCGGCUGUGUCCCGCAGGGCGUAAGGACAGGGAAAGCUCCGACGCGGCCGAGCCGGGUGUGCGGCUGCGGGGGGAGGUGCCGAGUCCAGAGCUGGUCACUGGCGGCAGAGCGGGGUUCGCAGCCCCCAGAGCCCCCCGCGCGGAGGGGCAGGAUGCACAGCGUCGCUGGGAGGACGGAGCUGAGGCACAAAUCCACGCAAAAAACACUGAGAACUAAAUGUGGCGUGUGGUGAGCUCCCGGUAAGUCCUAGAGAUCGUUACUGUCAUCGCUGCCCAGACAGGACGAUUCUCAGGAGCCCCCCGUGCACUCCAGAGGCUGACCGUUGGAAAGUCGAGGGACCUGCCCCUGCCCCUUCGUGGGGCUGUGCACAGGGACCUCCUUCCUUCCCGAGAGCCCAGCGCAGAGAAGCCUGACCAGGGCGGGUGACCACGGCAGCACCACCAGUGAGAGGCCACGUGGGCGGCCUGGACCCCCGUGGGCGGCCUGGACCCCCGACAGGCUGUGACGAGAGGGGCGCCUCACCUCUGCAGUCUCCCCCCGAGGACCCGUAACCCCCGUCUGAUGAGAGAAACGCCAGGCGAGUCCCGGCUGGGGACGUUCCACGAAACUCCUGACCGGCGUUCCUCAAAACCGCCAGCGUCACGAAAACCAGCGAAGUCUGAGCAGCUGUCCCAGCCAAGAGGAGGCGAGAGGGCUCAGUGUCACGUGGGAUCCUGGGACAGAAAGAGGACUGUAGGGGAAACUGAGGAAGUAGGAAUACAGUGCGGGUGUAUCAAGGUAGCAGUAUUGGUUCCUCACUCUUAGCCAAGAGCAGAAACGGGGUGUGAGGUCCUGCCGAGGUGACUUCGUGAAUCCCGAACUGCUCUAGCGUUAACCCUGGCGAGGGGGGGGACGGUGACCCUGGCACAAGCCCCCAGUCGGGCUUGCGGGGGCCUGGAGGUCCCUGUGCCUCGCCCCGUAUCUGGUCCUGGCCCCGGAUGCCCCUCUGCCCACUGUGGGGUCAGCGAUGGAGCAGUUGCCCAGGUUCUCGUGCCCUUGACCCCUUGACCCGGCGUGGCUCAGUGGCUCCUUCCCUAAAGCCACAGCGAUGGCCACGUUCCCGCCCUCACCUGGGGGGCACUCGGGCAGCCUGGGAAGGUCAGGGAGGCACCCGGGUGUGGCUUCCCAGGGACCCUUCCUGACCCGGCACCGCUGGGGCCCGGCCUCGGCCCUCGCAGUGAGGCGGGGUGGCCUAGGAAUUCCGCAGAGCUUUUCCUACAGACCAGGCCGGCAGGGCCGGCAAGUGCAGGGGACCAGGAGACGCGGCCUCCCUGCCGGGCCUGCCCUGCUGCCAGGGUGGGUGGCAGAGGUUCCCCGGCAACGGGCCCCCUUACAUAAGCUGGCGCGCAUCGUGUGGCGUGACUCCAGGUGCCCGUGGGAGGCAGCGCGGGGGCGCGCGCAGGGGCGCGAACGAGUCUCAAACUUUCGCUCGGGUGUUGCUCCCCCUCUUAUUAUAUUCCAGCGUCAUCCUGCGUCUGCCAGCUCGGUCACCCACUUGCUUAUUAGAAUACAUUAACUGACAAUGCGGAUUUAAAUAACUUGGGCAGGUGACAGGCCUCCAGGGUACCUGGUACCUGCCCAGGUGAGGCAGGGAGGACCAGGGGCCGGGACGGGAACAGACAGCUCGCUGCGCGGCCCCUGGUCUGCAUCUACGGCUGGGAUGGGGCAGCCGUGGGAAACCCGCCCCACCCGGGCCACUCGCUGUCUCAUGGCUGAGCCCGGCGUGUGCCUGGUCGGCAGCGACCGUCGGCGGGAAGUCUAAACAGCCUGGCGCCCGUCAGAGCGGGCCCUUCCGUAGGUGAGGACACGGAGCGCCGCGGGCAGGGCCGUGUGCACGUGUCCUCCCCAUGCGCUGCGGGCUCGGCGGUCAGCCCAGUGCCCUGCUCCGUGCUCCCUGCGAUCAUUCUUCCUUUAUCCCCUGAGACACGUCCUUGUUUUCUUAUCACUCCGCCUCUUCCGUGACUUAAGCUGCCUCGAGAGUGAUCUGAAAGGUGUUUUUGGACGGGAGCGAGGGAAUCUGUUCUCCAGAGUCUGGACUUGGAGGACACCUGGCAACCUGAGCGCGUCCCGCGGGCCCCUCCAGACAGGAGACGGCAGAGCUGUACCUGCAGGGGCGCCCCGCACGCCGCCGGAGAAGCCCAGACGCUGCCAUGCGGCGCAGAUGGCUUCCCCGCCCGGCCCGGCUGCUUCUAAUUUCAGCUGCAGGAGGCUCCGCGCCCGCUCGCGCUCCCUCUUUUUUAUUCUGUGUUUAUUUAAAGCCAGAUUUUGAAAUGUUGUCUCCA